Long non-coding RNA from Parus major (Great Tit), 1562 nucleotides. RefSeq lists it as uncharacterized. The transcript has 3 exons. Lineage: Eukaryota; Metazoa; Chordata; Aves; Passeriformes; Paridae. The record is from RefSeq and is a predicted model, not a curated record.
ACCUCCAUACACCCCGAUGUGAACAUGCAAUGGUUAUGUAACUUGUUUUUCUAUCUCUAAUUCAGCUGAGUCACUUUCCCAUAGUCCUCUUCUACUUAGCCAAAAUAACAGGCCUGAACCAUGAUUUUAAAAAACUUUUUUAAAGUUUUACUUAUUGGUAACAGGUUUGUUUGAUCUAUUUUGAAGUCAAAACAGCUUGUAAAGAAGAGGGAAGGAAUGCGAGAAAAUAAAGGCAGAGAUUCACAAGAGUCCUUUAGCAGCUGAGCCCCCCAGCUUGUCCAUCCCACUCGCCAUCCUGCACCAAGGAGGCAAAGGCUUGGCAACAAGUACACCAGUCCUGUGGUUUGCCCUGCUGCUCACCAGUUGUGGAUUCUCAUGUUGCUUUAGAGGGAAAUUAAAGCAGCUGCCUCCUGUGGGACAUGACCCUGUGUCCCCUCAGGCUCACUUUCAUGUGGUGUUCAAUAGCUUUGCCGACUGAACAGGUUUUGUGGGGCCACACCAUCAGCACUGGGAAGCGGAGCACAAUGUAAACCACAGAGGGCAGAUGAGACAACUUUUGGCACCCAAUUCUUAUCCCUAUAAUGAUUCCACUUUGGAAAAUAAAGUUCUGCACAUACCUUGUAUAUGCACUGUGUUAAGACACCUCUGAUGAGGUAUAAUUUAGUUGCUCCUAUGGCAGAGUGAUGUGCAGGCUACUUUGCUCUUUCCAGGAAGCAUCAGCCAGCAAGGAGGUGCAGCAGGCUAGAAUUCCCUUUGCCCAGCCCAAGGGUACCCCUGGUGUAUCUGGCCCACUUAGGCAAGUUUGGGCAGCCUGUGGUGCCUCUUCUGGCCUUUUGUGAUGGUGAGGAGAGUCUGAAAACUGCAUGCAGGCAAGUAUGCAAAGACAACAACCGCUCCUAAGAAGCCCUAGAAAAGAAAUGCUGUUCUGAAAAGAAAUAAAAGUAUGUUAUAUAAAAAAUGGCAUUAUUCUUGAGUUUUCCUGCUCUAUGUGAAAUUGUCUCUUUUUUUCCAAAGAGGAAACACAGUCCUUAAAUUAGAUCUCACAGAGAUGCUGGCUCCAGAAUUGUGAAAAUUAAUACACAAGCAAUUAAAUUUGAAAACAAAAAAAUCCCAACAAUGAAUCAGGAAAGAAGUCACUGGCAUUAAAACCAGAGUUAUGCAAAUUAAGCCAUAAACUCUCAGCCAAAUUUAGGAAAUUUUUUGAUCUUUAAUUCACUUCACUCUGCCAUCAGAAUCCUUCUUGCCUACUUUCCCUCAGGAUAGAAGUCCAUCAUUAAAUAAUGGAUGCAUAAACCCCUUUUUUUAUUUCUUCCUCUAAAUAAAAUUCUUUAUUGGAAAUACUGGAGAGGAGCAAAAAUUAAGGAUGAAAAGAAACUACAGUGAUGGUAAGUGACAAACAAAGCCAGGGCUUGAAGAAUUAAUUUCAUUCUCUGAAUUACACUGAUCUAAUUUGCAAGGUCAUUAUAUGCAUCUUUGUUUGAGAAUUCUACAGGAGAGUAGGAGAGUCCUACACAUAGAGAAAGGAGUAAAAUACAGUCUUCAUUUGAUGUGAAGUUUUGAUU